GACCUCCUCCCAUCCCUGACUGGGAGCUGCUAAGCAGUUCUGGCUUCUCUUCCCUCUGAAGUCUGGCUACCGUACAAGAUUUAAUACCCACUCUAAAAGCACUACAGGUAUGCAUCUUCUACAGUCUAAGAGGAAUACUCACUUCCAGGACUGUCAGCAGACGUGCUGUUGUUCACUGUGGUGUUCACCGCUGUACCACAGGGCUAAAAGGGCAACAAUUUAAAAACAGUCCAUUCAUAACUUCCACACCGUUAAGCUUGGAAGCCUGCAAUUUUAUCAGAAACUAUUGAAAAGCACUGCCAAACUGGAUAAAGGAAGAAGCUACAUCCUACAAAAUUCAACACUUUGCCAUCUUAGCCAAUAAAAUUUUAGCUAAUAUAAGCAGAUAGAAAAAAGGAAUUGAAAUUAAUACAAGUAAUGAUGACAUGAUAGCACUAUGGUUUAUAUUUUAAAAAGAAUUUCCAAUAAAACUUAUUUGGA
Gallus gallus (chicken) is the source of this 480-nucleotide long non-coding RNA. RefSeq lists it as uncharacterized. NCBI's taxonomy places the organism in Eukaryota, Metazoa, Chordata, Aves, Galliformes, Phasianidae. The record is from RefSeq and is a predicted model, not a curated record. The transcript is spliced from 4 exons.